CCUACGGGAGGCAGCAGUGAGGAAUAUUGGUCAAUGGGCUUACGCCUGAACCAGCCAAGUCGCGUGAGGGAAGACUGCCCUAUGGGUUGUAAACCUCUUUUGUCAGGGAGCAACGCCGGCUAAGUGUAGCCGGACUGAGAGUACCUGAAGAAAAAGCAUCGGCUAACUCCGUGCCAGCAGCCGCGGUAAUACGGAGGAUGCGAGCGUUAUCCGGAUUGAUUGGGUUUAAAGGGUGCGUAGGCGGAAUGCCAAGUCAGCGGUAAAAUCGCGGGGCUCAACCUCGCUCCGCCGUUGAAACUGGCGUUCUUGAGUGGGCGAGAAGUAUGCGGAAUGCGUGGUGUAGCGGUGAAAUGCAUAGAUAUCACGCAGAACUCCGAUUGCGAAGGCAGCAUACCGGCGCCCAACUGACGCUGAAGCACGAAAGCGUGGGUAUCGAACAGGAUUAGAUACCCCGGUAGUC
Molecule: ribosomal RNA, 460 nt
Filed under: uncultured bacterium
Lineage: Bacteria
Description: partial 16S ribosomal RNA
Rfam family: Bacterial small subunit ribosomal RNA
Source: RNAcentral